AAAAAAUGAAAGUGCUUAACUGCAUUUUUUCUUACACAUGUGUUUUUCUUUUUUUGAAAACUUUGCUUUGGUAGGCCUUCUAUAUGGGGCCUGCCAGAGAUUAAACUCAACCAAAUUUUAUUUAAUGUCAACCGAUUAUUUAAUAGUCAAAACUUUCAACAACGGAUCUCUUGGUUCUCGCAUCGAUGAAGAACGCAGCGAAAUGCGAUAAGUAAUAUGAAUUGCAGAUAUUCGUGAAUCAUCGAAUCUUUGAACGCACAUUGCGCCCUUUGGUAUUCCAAAGGGCAUGCCUGUUUGAGCGUCAUUUCUCCCUCAAACCCUCGGGUUUGGUGUUGAGCGAUACGCUGGGUUUGCUUGAAAGAAAGGCGGAGUAUAAACUAAUGGAUAGGUUUUUUCCACUCAUUGGUACAAACUCCAAAACUUCUUCCAAAUUCGACCUCAAAUCAGGUAGGACUACCCGCUGAACUUAAGCAUAUCAAAGCCCGGAGGAA
This 491-nucleotide ribosomal RNA is filed under the name Lodderomyces parapsilosis. RNAcentral describes it as "eukaryotic LSU rRNA". The stretch from base 151 to 304 matches the Rfam family "5.8S ribosomal RNA". Lineage: Eukaryota; Fungi; Ascomycota; Pichiomycetes; Serinales; Debaryomycetaceae. The record is from RNAcentral.